This is a non-coding RNA of Lupinus angustifolius (narrow-leaved blue lupine), 118 nucleotides long. The record is from Rfam. Lineage: Eukaryota; Viridiplantae; Streptophyta; Magnoliopsida; Fabales; Fabaceae.
AGGAGCGAUCAUACCAGCACUAAUGCACCGGAUCCCAUCAGAACUCCCAGUUAAGCGUGCUUGGGCGAGAGUAGUACUAGGAUGGGUGACCUCCUAGGAAGUCAUAGUGUUGCACCUC